RNAcentral lists this non-coding RNA (29 nucleotides) under Rattus norvegicus (Norway rat). The record is from RNAcentral. Lineage: Eukaryota; Metazoa; Chordata; Mammalia; Rodentia; Muridae.
UNGUGUCCUCUUUACCAUGUUUAGGGUAG